CCUUCCGGCGGUCGCCGCCGCGGACGGAUUCGCGCGGCGCCACCUCCUGGACUGAGGCAAUCGCUGGCGCCAGCGUCGGAUUCCCGUGCUGCGGCCCGGGCACACGCGGUCCGCGCCUCCUCGCCAUGGCCCCCCUCUCGACGCGGGUGCUGUUCCAACGGGGGCGACCCAAGAGCGACCGGCUAGGGAAGAUCCGGAGCUUGGACCUGUCAGGGCUGAAUCUGCUCUCAGAGGACUUGGACCUCAAUCUCCUGGGUCGCUUGAAGCAGCUGCAAGAGCUGGACCUCUCGGACAACCAACUGGAAACGCUGCCUGCUGACCUGGGUCUGCCCCACUUGCAUGUCCUCCAUUGUGCCAACAACCAGCUGAGCGACGUCACCCCCCUCUGCCAGUUCCCGCAGCUCGAGGAGCUCAGCCUGGAGGGCAACCCCUUCCUGACAGUCAGUGACAGUCUGAAAAUCACCUUCCUCCUGCCCGAGCUCCGUAAGUUCAACGGCAAGGAUGUUUCCACCAUUCGCUCUAAGGCAGAGAACCUGAAUCGGGAGCUGACCACCAGGGUCGCAACUCACUGGAGGAAGUUCAUGGCUGCGCUGAGCCGAGAAGAGAAGGCAAAGGCCCAGGCCAACUUUGUGAAGUCAGCUGUCAGGAAUGUCCGCUACGGGCCCGUGUCGCUCAGCGAAUUCACCCAGUGGCGGGUGCGGAUGAUCUCUGAGGAGUUGGUGGCCUCUGGUGGAACCCACGCGCGUGAGGCAGACAUGCCAGAGGGGCCCCACAAAGCCACAGCUACCCAGGAGCCCAGGGCCAGGCCUGUGGCCUUGAGGCGGCCAGGUGAUAUCCCACUCAGCCUCUCGCCCCAGAAGCGGGUGUGCACCUCCCCGUUGGCGCCGGUGGAGGGCAGCCUUGUGGGCUCUGACAGCAGCCAGCUGGAGCCCCUGCACUUCCUGCAGUGCCACAGCAAGAACAACAGCCCCAGCGACCUCAGAACGCAGCUCUGGGCCUGCGCCUUCGAGCCGGCCUGGGAUGAGGGUACACACUUCGGGGGCAGGGGCCCUGGGAAUGCCACCUGCAGGGGCUACCUGGAAGGCUGGGAAGCAGGGAGGGACAGAGAGCUUAAAGUGUCAUCCAGGUCAGGAGGAGCGACUGCUGCGGACAGCUGGAAAUGUUUUCACCAGACUGACCUCCCAAACAGGGCAGGCAGGGGCCACGUCGCAGACCGUGGCCACGUGUGGUGGGGAGGCCGUGUGUGUGAUCGACUGCCAGACGGGCAUUGUACUACACAAGUACAAGGUGCCUGGCGAGGAGUUCUUCUCCGUGGCCUGGACCACCCUGACGGUGGUCACACAGACCGGCCACAAGAAGCGCUGGAACGUGCUGGCGGCUGCGGGCCUGCGUGGGCUGGUCCGGCUGCUGCACGUGCAGGCCGGCUUCUGCUGCGGGCUCAUCCGGGGCCACAAGAAGGCCAUUGCCACCCUCUGCUUCAGCCCCACCCACGAGACCCACCUCUUCAGGUGGGCCUCACAUCAGCUGCCAAGGUCAGCUCAGACUGCGGUGGGAAGCACGAGGCUUCAGGGACACCUGACCCGGCUUCGGAUUCUGUCUUGUUCCCCCAACCUGCCCUGCAGCCUUGGAGGUUUCUCAGAGCCAGGGCAGUGUCUGCCAUCUGGCGGCCUCCUACGACAAGCGCAUCAUCCUCUGGGACAUCGGGACACCCAACCAGGACUACGAAUUCCAGGCCAGCCACCUGCUCACACUGGAUACCACCUCCACCCCACUGCGCCUCUGCCCUGUUGCACCCUGCCCGGACACCUACCUGCUGGCCGGCUGCGAGGGCGGCUGCUGCUGCUGGGAUGUGCGGCUGGACCAGCCCCAGAAGAGGAGGGUGUGUGAAGUGGAGUUCGUCUUCUCCGAGGGCUCCGAGGCAUCCGGACAGAGAGUGGACGGUCUGGCAUUCGUGAACGAGGAUGUCGUGGCCUCCAAGGGGAGCAGCCUGGGCACCAUCUGCCUGUGGAGCUGGAGUCAGACGUGGCAGGGCCGGGGCAGCCAGCCCACGGUGGCGGUGGUGGUCCUGGCUCGGCUGCAGUGGUCGCCCACCAUCCUGGCCUACUUCUCCCUUAGCACGUGUCCUGACAAGGGGCUUGUGCUCUGCGGGGACGAGCAGGGCAGCGUGUGGAUCUAUGACGUCAGGCCCCUCCUGGCGCAGCGUUCCCCGCCGCAGGCCGCCCUGCAGGCCCCCACGCAGAUCCUUAAGUGGCCCCAGCCCCAGGCGUUGGGCCAGACGGUGACCAAGACGAUGGUAAACACGGUGGUGGCCAACCCCACCUUUACCUAUCUCACGGCGCUGACCGACUCCAACAUCGUUGCCAUCUGGAGAAGGGGCGAGCCCUGAGCACACGGGCCUGCCUCCGCCACGGGGCACCAGGGACACAACUUAACUUAUUCAGCUUUGGGGGUAGUAAUGGGAUCUUUAUGUCUGUGUUGUGUUUUUUUUUUUAAUUAAACGCUACUUUGUAAUAGAA
Capra hircus (goat) is the source of this 2516-nucleotide RNA transcript. It is a transcript of the gene named leucine rich repeats and WD repeat domain containing 1, with no coding region annotated. The transcript is spliced from 15 exons. Lineage: Eukaryota; Metazoa; Chordata; Mammalia; Artiodactyla; Bovidae. The record is from RefSeq and is a predicted model, not a curated record.